UCACAAAAAAAAUCUCAUAAUGUUUUAAGAAAGUUUAAGAAUUUGUGUUGGGCCAGAUUCAAAACCGUCCUGAGACUCAUUCAAAGCCAUCGUGGGCCACAGGCGGCCUGCAGACCACAGGUUGGACAAGCUUGAACUAAGGCCUCACAACAACCCUGUGAAUGAAUUUGGAAAUGGAUCCUUCUGCUCCAGUGGAGCCUUGACGUGACCGUGGCCCUGGCCCACAGCUUGACUGCACCUGGAUUCCUGUGCGAUAACAAAUGUUUGUUGUUUUAGCCCCUAGGUUUAGGGUAAUGGGUUAGGCAGUAACAGAUAACAAAUACAUUGCCCUAAGAAAGAGAUUGCUGUGAGGAUGGAGUAACAUGUAUAGUGCCCGCACAUAGUAGGUGCUAAUUCAUUGCUUGCCUAAUGAGUCAGUCAAUAAGCAAAUGAAUAUUCUUUAACACGGAAUGUUCUCUAAAUCCAAAUGCUCACUCCCUUCCACCCACUCCUGUCAAAAACGUCACUGAAAGUUGUUUUAAGCGGAGAAUGGCUGGGUCAGAUUUGUUUUUCUGUAACGGGAGAUUGGUUUGUAUCCCAUGGGUGUGGCCGGUUCAGCUGUGGUCUGGGUGAAGACAGAUUUAAAAAUAACAAUCCUUUGUCAGUUCAGAGAGGACUUUAGUAUAACUUAGAUCUCAUAGCAGGCAAGUACUCUGGAUGUGGAAAUGAACAUGAUCUACAUCAAAUUUCAAGACAGAAGGGAGGAGAUGAGGAGACAGAGGUUCCAAGAGGCAGAAGCAAUCAUGCAGUGACAGAGUGGGGAAGUGACAGAGCUGGGAAAUGAGAUUUGGGGCAGGGAGGGGAGUCCUCAUUCCAGAGCCCAGGGAAUUUCCUUCCCUACGUCUGGACUGUUAUGCACUUGCAAUUCAGAGUACCGACUCUGCACCAGACAUCCUGCUAGGUGCUAGUGCUGGGAGGCACAGUGAAUGGGCCAGGCCUGGCCUCUGCGUGAGCCACAGUCUACCAGAAGACCCUGAAGUGCUGAGAAUACUCAUCAGAGGCCAAAUGAAAGACUUCUUUUUGCCUCCACUCACCUACUCCCAGCCCUACCACCUGCCAGCUGUGUGACCUUGGACAAUUACCUUCCCUCUCUGCUUUAGUCCCAUGACAAUAAAAUGGCAGAAAUAUUAAUGUCUA
Long non-coding RNA from Sapajus apella (tufted capuchin), 1176 nucleotides. RefSeq lists it as uncharacterized. NCBI's taxonomy places the organism in Eukaryota, Metazoa, Chordata, Mammalia, Primates, Cebidae. The transcript has 3 exons. The record is from RefSeq and is a predicted model, not a curated record.